CCCUUCGAUGUUCUGGGCUGCACGCGCGCUACAAUGGCAGCGACAGAGAGGAGCUCGGCCGAAAGGCCUGGCUAAACUGGAAUCGCUGUCGUGAUUGGGAUUGAGCUUUGUAAAUAGCUCAUGAAAGAGGAAUUCCUCGUAAGCGCGAGUCACCAACUCGUGUUGAAUACGUCUCUGCCCUUUGUACACACCGCCCGUCGCUACUACUGAUUGAAUUGGUUUUUGAAGAAUAAGGAUUGGCCGACUGAGCGGGUGCUUGCAUCAGCAUAAGUAUGGUCGAGAAUCAUUCUGAAAAAACCGUUCGAGAGGAAGUAAAAGUCGUANCA
This 326-nucleotide ribosomal RNA is filed under the name uncultured eukaryote. RNAcentral's name for it is "partial 18S ribosomal RNA". It matches the Rfam family "Eukaryotic small subunit ribosomal RNA", at positions 1470 to 1796 of the family's 1831-position model. The record is from RNAcentral.